This 252-nucleotide ribosomal RNA is filed under the name uncultured bacterium. RNAcentral's name for it is "partial 16S ribosomal RNA". It matches the Rfam family "Bacterial small subunit ribosomal RNA", at positions 524 to 776 of the family's 1533-position model. The record is from RNAcentral.
UACGGAGGAUGCGAGCGUUAUCCGGAUUUAUUGGGUUUAAAGGGUGCGUAGGCGGAAUAUCAAGUCAGCGGUAAAAAUUCGGGGCUCAACCCCGUCGUGCCGUUGAAACUGAUGUUCUUGAGUGGGCGAGAAGUGUGCGGAAUGCGUGGUGUAGCGGUGAAAUGCAUAGAUAUCACGCAGAACUCCGAUUGCGAAGGCAGCAUACCGGCGCCCAACUGACGCUGAAGCACGAAAGCGUGGGUAUCGAACAGG